GAUGAGGGUCAUUUCCUAU
This 19-nucleotide small nuclear RNA is filed under the name Arabidopsis thaliana (thale cress). Its description in RNAcentral is "snRNA_00611". Lineage: Eukaryota; Viridiplantae; Streptophyta; Magnoliopsida; Brassicales; Brassicaceae. The record is from RNAcentral.